Molecule: ribosomal RNA, 253 nt
Filed under: uncultured bacterium
Lineage: Bacteria
Description: partial 16S ribosomal RNA
Rfam family: Bacterial small subunit ribosomal RNA
Source: RNAcentral
UACAGAGGGUGCGAGCGUUGUCCGGAUUUACUGGGCGUAAGGAGCGCGCAGGCGGUCGUUCAAGUCGCGUGUGAAAGCCCCCGGCUCAACUGGGGAGGGUCACGCGACACUGAUCGACUCGAAGGCAGGAGAGGGUAGUGGAAUUCCCGGUGUAGUGGUGAAAUGCGUAGAUAUCGGGAGGAACACCAGUGGCGAAGGCGACUACCUGGCCUGUUCUUGACGCUGAGGCGCGAAAGCUAGGGGAGCAAACGGG